This 430-nucleotide ribosomal RNA is filed under the name Zhangixalus feae (Thao whipping frog). Its description in RNAcentral is "Rhacophorus feae (Thao whipping frog) partial 16S ribosomal RNA". It matches the Rfam family "Bacterial large subunit ribosomal RNA", at positions 1973 to 2573 of the family's 2925-position model. The record is from RNAcentral. Lineage: Eukaryota; Metazoa; Chordata; Amphibia; Anura; Rhacophoridae.
UCUUUAAAUAGGGACUAGUAUCAACGGCAUCACGAGGGUUACACUGUCUCCUUUCUCCAAUCAGUGAAACUGAUCUCCCCGUGAAGAAGCGGGGAUAUAACCAUAAGACGAGAAGACCCCAUGGAGCUUUAAAUUUACAGCAACUCAGUUAAACAAUCCCUUGUAAUUUACAGAAUAUGCAUACUAAUUUUAGGUUGGGGUGACCGCGGAGUAAAAAUUAACCUCCACGACGAAAAGAACUAAAUCUUUAUCCAAGAGCUACAACUCUAAGAAUUAGCAUACUAACUAUAAUGACCCGAUAAUCGAUCAACGGACCAAGUUACCCUGGGGAUAACAGCGCAAUCUACUUCGAGAGCCCAUAUCGACAAGUAGGCUUACGACCUCGAUGUUGGAUCAGGGUAUCCUAGUGGUGCAGCCGCUACUAAUGGUC